RNAcentral lists this unclassified non-coding RNA (549 nucleotides) under Aspergillus pseudoglaucus. RNAcentral's name for it is "sequence contains 18S rRNA gene, ITS1, 5.8S rRNA gene, ITS2, 28S rRNA gene". The stretch from base 187 to 340 matches the Rfam family "5.8S ribosomal RNA". Lineage: Eukaryota; Fungi; Ascomycota; Eurotiomycetes; Eurotiales; Aspergillaceae. The record is from RNAcentral.
UCGUAACAAGGUUUCCGUAGGUGAACCUGCGGAAGGAUCAUUACCGAGUGCGGGCCCUCUGGGUCCAACCUCCCAUCCGUGUCUAUCUGUACCCUGUUGCUUCGGCGUGGCCACGGCCCGCCGAAGACUAACAUUUGAACACUGUCUGAAGUUUGCAGUCUGAGUUUUUAGUUAAACAAUAAUUAAAACUUUCAACAACGGAUCUCUUGGUUCCGGCAUCGAUGAAGAACGCAGCGAAAUGCGAUAAUUAAUGUGAAUUGCAGAAUUCAGUGAAUCAUCGAGUCUUUGAACGCACAUUGCGCCCCCUGGUAUUCCGGGGGGCAUGCCUGUCCGAGCGUCAUUGCUGCCCUCAAGCACGGCUUGUGUGUUGGGCUUCCGUCCCUGGUAACGGGGACGGGCCCAAAAGGCAGUGGCGGCACCAUGUCUGGUCCUCGAGCGUAUGGGGCUUUGUCACCCGCUCCCGUAGGUCCAGCUGGCAGCUAGCCUCGCAACCAAUCUUUUUAACCAGGUUGACCUCGGAUCAGGUAGGGAUACCCGCUGAACCUAAGC